AUAUAACUAGGCGGAGGAAAAGAAACUAACCAGGAUUCCCUUAGUAACGGCGAGUGAAGCGGGACAAGCUCAGACUGAAAAUCUUCGGAGUUGUAGUCUGGAGAAGUCAAGUCAACUUUAAGUUUCGGAUAAAGUCUCUUGGAACAGAGCGCCGUGGAGGGUGAUAGCCCCGUUCAUGUCUGAAACGAAAAGUGUACGGCUGACUUUCUAAGAGUCGAGUUGUUUGGGAUUGCAGCUCUAAGUGGGUGGUAAAUUCCAUCUAAAGCUAAAUAUAAAUGGGAGACCGAUAGCGAACAAGUACCGUGAGGGAAAGAUGCAAAGAACUUUGAAAAGAGAGUUAAAUAGUACCUGAAAUUGCUGAAAUGGAACCGAUGGGAGGCAGUGUUGGCUUGUUAGUACUUGUACUGGUGAGCAAGUUUAGCUUCCUUAACUAUGUGGGAAAGGCUUCUGAAUCAGUUUGAAUCAGUUUUGCUGUCAUGUGGUUGAGGGACUUAAACGAAAUGCCUCUUAUCAU
This 514-nucleotide ribosomal RNA is filed under the name uncultured fungus. RNAcentral describes it as "eukaryotic LSU rRNA". It matches the Rfam family "Eukaryotic large subunit ribosomal RNA", at positions 40 to 564 of the family's 3401-position model. Lineage: Eukaryota; Fungi. The record is from RNAcentral.